This 1288-nucleotide long non-coding RNA is filed under the name Struthio camelus australis. Its description in RNAcentral is "lncRNA (ENSSCUG00000008994.1)". Lineage: Eukaryota; Metazoa; Chordata; Aves; Struthioniformes; Struthionidae. The record is from RNAcentral.
AUGUGUCCCCUGCUUCAUGCAGGGCCAAACGUUCCUGCUGCCUCCUUCGUUUCUGGGCCUGAAGACCAAACCCUGGAAAAACCCUACAUAAAACAACGGAUAUUCGUCAGCCUGGUCUUUGCAUAUGUGCUAGCCCACCUAGAUACAGGAGUGGACACAGGGGUAUCAGCUCCACACACCUUGUUCUCCCCCCAGUUUCACCAGGCAAGCAUUUUUUUUUUACCAUCUUCCUCUGUCUACAGAUCAGGCUGUCUGUGGAUGACAACAUGUAGACCUGCAGGAAUUGAAUUUUUCAGGUGCUUUCCCUAAAAUAUGAUCUUUGCAUAAUCACAGGUUAAGCAAGUGGGAAUGCUGCUGGCUGGCCAGGAAAUCAGGACCAGCGACGAGGAGAUAAAAAACAACGUAUGGGAGAAGGGUUAUGUCUAUCCCUCAGAGGAAAUGAAGAAUUAGGAGGCAAAGUAUGGGUAAUAAUGGAGAUAAGUGGAAUGCAAUUAAAAAACAAAAAACAACCCCUUACCCCCCAACACACAUUCAAGCUUUUACUGUUGCUGUCACAACAAAAUAAGGUCAUAGGGAUAUAGCCAACAGUACAACAUAUUCUGUGUCUCGGUAUAGCAGGCCAUCCCAAUUUUUCUAGCCCAGCAGGUGCUAACACUACAUUUAGAAAUGUGUAUUGCAAACCUGCAGCACGGAUAGACCCAUCGUCUACCAUCUAGCCAAUGUCAAGGUCUGUUCUCAGACUCAGAGUGGUUCUAGCUAGGCCAAGACCAAGAUUAAAAUCCCUCCCCUUCCCCCCCCGCCCCCCAAAACUCCAAAACUGUGCGGCUGUAUCCAAAGUACUUUGGCAAGCAUCCAUGUUAUCUCCUUAGAUAUGCCCGAGAAUUGAUCGGGACAUUGCCAGCUGGCAAGAAUUAAACAUAAUGUGAAGAACUGAACGUUGCGGAUGAUUGAGGUCCAGUGUCCAAAGUCUCUAGCACUGUUUAGCUGAUGAGUGCAGACACAGCCCAUGAGUUCAGAUGUCCUGUGCUGCAGCGUUAAGUAGGGCUGCCGACAGUCAGGGAACUGUAAAUCCCUAUACCAGGGCCCAACUCUAGAGCUCAGACAGGAGGUGGCAGCUGGCUUUAGCCUGUGCUUGGUGCACGACCGCCAGACCUCAGUUCUUUACUCUCCCUGUUUGUGUUUCUAGAUUAACAAGGCCAGAAAGCUCCCCGACUUCACUCCCCAAAUCCUCCCACAACACAAAAAAAAAUCAUAUUAGUGUCAGCUCGGUUUGAGCUUGCUGAAUUUG